AUAUUUACUGCUACCCGGAUUGAUACUAAUUUCAUGCGAGUCAUUGUAGUAAUACAAGGCAGACGGCUCAGUAACGCGUAGUCAACCUACCCUAUGGACGGGAAUAACCUCGGGAAACUGAGUAUAAUGCCCGAUAGAACACUAUACCUGGAAUGGUUUGUGUUCCAAAUGAUUUAUCGCCGUAGGAUGGGACUGCGGCCUAUCAGUUUGUUGGUGAGGUAAUGGCCCACCAAGACUAUUACAGGUACGGGCUCUGAGAGGAGUAGCCCGGAGAUGGGUACUGAGACACGGACCCAGGCCCUAUGGGGCGCAGCAGGCGAGAAAACUUUGCAAUGUGCGAAAGCACGACAAGGUUAAUCCGAGUGGUUUGUGCUAAACGAACCUUUUGACAGUCCUAGAAACACUGUUGAAUAAGGGGUGGGCAAGUUCUGGUGUCAGCCGCCGCGGUGAAACCAACACCUCAAGUGGUCAGGAUGAUUAUUGGGCCUAAAGCAUCCGUAGCCGGCUCUGUAAGUUUUCGGUUAGAUCUGUACGCUCAACG
This 541-nucleotide ribosomal RNA is filed under the name uncultured archaeon. RNAcentral describes it as "bacterial SSU rRNA". It matches the Rfam family "Archaeal small subunit ribosomal RNA", at positions 20 to 564 of the family's 1478-position model. The record is from RNAcentral.